AGCGAACGCUGGCGGCAGGCUUAACACAUGCAAGUCGAACGGGCAUCUUCGGAUGUCAGUGGCAGACGGGUGCGUAACACGUGGGAACGUACCCUUCGGUUCGGAAUAACUCAGGGAAACUUGAGCUAAUACCGGAUACGCCCUUUUGGGGAAAGGUUUACUGCCGAAGGAUCGGCCCGCGUCUGAUUAGCUUGUUGGUGGGGUAACGGCCUACCAAGGCGACGAUCAGUAGCUGGUCUGAGAGGAUGAUCAGCCACACUGGGACUGAGACACGGCCCAGACUCCUACGGGAGGCAGCAGUGGGGAAUAUUGGACAAUGGGCGCAAGCCUGAUCCAGCCAUGCCGCGUGAGUGAUGAAGGCCUUAGGGUUGUAAAGCUCUUUUGUCCGGGACGAUAAUGACGGUACCGGAAGAAUAAGCCCCGGCUAGCUUCGUG
Molecule: ribosomal RNA, 435 nt
Filed under: uncultured bacterium
Lineage: Bacteria
Description: partial 16S ribosomal RNA
Rfam family: Bacterial small subunit ribosomal RNA
Source: RNAcentral